GGGCAGGUGCCCGAGCGGCCAAAGGGGACGGUCUGUAAAACCGUUGGCGUAUGCCUACGCUGGUUCGAAUCCAGCCCUGCCCACCA
RNAcentral lists this transfer RNA (86 nucleotides) under Thermus sp. Its description in RNAcentral is "tRNA-Tyr". It matches the Rfam family "tRNA". Rfam says of the family: Transfer RNA (tRNA) molecules are approximately 80 nucleotides in length. Lineage: Bacteria; Thermotogati; Deinococcota; Deinococci; Thermales; Thermaceae. The record is from RNAcentral. RNAcentral also lists the same sequence under 1 other name.